This 116-nucleotide ribosomal RNA is filed under the name Pogona vitticeps (central bearded dragon). Lineage: Eukaryota; Metazoa; Chordata; Lepidosauria; Squamata; Agamidae. The record is from RNAcentral.
UGCAGUCACCAUACCACUCUGAACACAUCUAAUCUCAUCUGAUUUUAGAAGUUGUGCAUGGUUAGCCUGGGUUAAUAUUUGGAUAGACUAUCAGGAAGCACCAGGCAAGACUAAGA